GGCCUUGUAGCUAAGGGGUUAGAGCAUUGGUCUUGUAAACCAAGGGUUGUAAGUUCAAUUCUCACCUUGUCCU
This 73-nucleotide transfer RNA is filed under the name Oryctolagus cuniculus (rabbit). It matches the Rfam family "tRNA". Rfam says of the family: Transfer RNA (tRNA) molecules are approximately 80 nucleotides in length. Their secondary structure includes four short double-helical elements and three loops (D, anti-codon, and T loops). Further hydrogen bonds mediate the characteristic L-shaped molecular structure. tRNAs have two regions of fundamental functional importance: the anti-codon, which is responsible for specific mRNA codon recognition, and the 3' end, to which the tRNAs corresponding amino acid is attached (by aminoacyl-tRNA synthetases). tRNAs cope with the degeneracy of the genetic code in two manners: having more than one tRNA (with a specific anti-codon) for a particular amino acid; and 'wobble' base-pairing, i.e. permitting non-standard base-pairing at the 3rd anti-codon position. The record is from Rfam by way of RNAcentral. Lineage: Eukaryota; Metazoa; Chordata; Mammalia; Lagomorpha; Leporidae.